This 40-nucleotide ribosomal RNA is filed under the name Veronica vandewateri. RNAcentral's name for it is "partial 28S ribosomal RNA". Lineage: Eukaryota; Viridiplantae; Streptophyta; Magnoliopsida; Lamiales; Plantaginaceae. The record is from RNAcentral.
CCGCGACCUCAGGUCAGGCGGGACUACCCGCUGAGUUUAA